UACGUAGGUGGCAAGCGUUAUCCGGAAUUAUUGGGCGUAAAGCGCGCGCAGGUGGUUUCUUAAGUCUGAUGUGAAAGCCCACGGCUCAACCGUGGAGGGUCAUUGGAAACUGGGAGACUUGAGUGCAGAAGAGGAAAGUGGAAUUCCAUGUGUAAGCGGUGAAAUGCGUAGAGAUAUGGAGGAACACCAGUGGCGAAGGCGACUUCUGGUCUGUAACUGACACUGAGGCGCGAAAGCGUGGGGGGCAAACAGG
This 253-nucleotide ribosomal RNA is filed under the name uncultured bacterium. Its description in RNAcentral is "partial 16S ribosomal RNA". It matches the Rfam family "Bacterial small subunit ribosomal RNA", at positions 524 to 776 of the family's 1533-position model. The record is from RNAcentral.